CCUACGGGAGGCAGCAGUGGGGAAUAUUGCACAAUGGGCGCAAGCCUGAUGCAGCAACGCCGCGUGAGGGACGACGGCCUUCGGGUUGUAAACCUCUUUUAGUAGGGAAGAAGCGAAAGUGACGGUACCUGCAGAAAAAGCACCGGCUAACUACGUGCCAGCAGCCGCGGUAAUACGUAGGGUGCAAGCGUUAUCCGGAAUUAUUGGGCGUAAAGAGCUCGUAGGCGGUUUGUCGCGUCUGCUGUGAAAACUGGAGGCUCAACCUCCAGCCUGCAGUGGGUACGGGCAGACUAGAGUGCGGUAGGGGAGAUUGGAAUUCCUGGUGUAGCGGUGGAAUGCGCAGAUAUCAGGAGGAACACCGAUGGCGAAGGCAGAUCUCUGGGCCGUAACUGACGCUGAGGAGCGAAAGCAUGGGGAGCGAACAGGAUUAGAUACCCUGGUAGUCCAUGCCGUAAACGUUGGGAACUAGAUGUAGGGACCAUUCCACGGUUUCUGUGUCGCNGCUACGACAUAACGUUACCCGUCCGUCGGGAGGUACGGCCGCGACGACGUAAACUACAACUAGAAGUUAGUACGGCGUGAGACGUAGCCGACGGACGACGACGAGGGAGGAGG
Molecule: ribosomal RNA, 615 nt
Filed under: uncultured bacterium
Lineage: Bacteria
Description: bacterial SSU rRNA
Rfam family: Bacterial small subunit ribosomal RNA (bases 1-525)
Source: RNAcentral